CAGCAGCCGCGGUAAUACGUAGGUGGCAAGCGUUGUCCGGAUUUAUUGGGCGUAAAGGGAGCGCAGGUGGUUUCUUAAGUCUGAUGUGAAAGCCCACGGCUUAACCGUGGAGGGUCAUUGGAAACUGGGAAACUUGAGUACAGAAGAGGAAUGUGGAACUCCAUGUGUAGCGGUGGAAUGCGUAGAUAUAUGGAAGAACACCAGUGGCGAAGGCGACAUUCUGGUCUGUUACUGACACUGAGGCUCGAAAGCGUGGGGAGCAAACAGGAUUAGAUACCCUGGUAGUCCACGCCGUAAACGAUGAGUGCUAGGUGUUGGAGGGUUUCCGCCCUUCAGUGCCGCAGCUAACGCAUUAAGCACUCCGCCUGGGGAGUACGACCGCAAGGUUGAAACUUAAAGGAAUUGGCGGG
This 410-nucleotide ribosomal RNA is filed under the name uncultured microorganism. Its description in RNAcentral is "bacterial SSU rRNA". It matches the Rfam family "Bacterial small subunit ribosomal RNA", at positions 509 to 917 of the family's 1533-position model. The record is from RNAcentral.